GACGAACGCUGGCGGCGUGCUUAACACAUGCAAGUCGAACGGUGAACGAGGGAGCUUUCUCCCUCCGGAUCAGUGGCGAACGUGUUAGUAACACGUUAGCAAUCUCCCCCGAACUCUGGGAUAAACGUUGGAAACGACUUCUAAUACCGGAUACGAUGCGGUAUGGCAUCCUCUCCGCGUGUAAAGAACUUCGGUUCGGGAUGAGGUCGCGGCCUAUCCUCUUGUUUGUGAGGUAACGUCUAAAGAAGGCGACGACGGGUAGCCGGCCUGAGAGGGUGACCGGCCACACUGGGACUGAGACACGGCCAAGACUCAUACGGGAGGCAGAAGUAGGGAAUAUUAAACAAGGGGCGCAAGCCUGAUGCAGCAACGCCGAGUGAGGGAGGACGGCCUUGGGGUUGUAAACCUAUUAUAGCAGGGAAGAAGCGAAAGUGACGGUACCUGAAGAAAAAGCACCGGCUAACUACGUG
Molecule: ribosomal RNA, 470 nt
Filed under: uncultured bacterium
Lineage: Bacteria
Description: partial 16S ribosomal RNA
Rfam family: Bacterial small subunit ribosomal RNA
Source: RNAcentral